CCGAGGUAGCUUAUGGAUCGCAGAUAUUGUCAGGGAUUAUAGUCGGCUUUACUACUCCAAAAACUAUAGGUUUACUGCCUUUGUGCACUUUUGUUUUUUAUGGGCCCACGAGUUACUGUAAAGUAAAUUUCAUAUCCCGGUUAUCUGUAUUAUAGUACAUAUGAAUUUAUUUAGCUUUUACAUUACAAAAAAUUAUUUACCGAUGACUCUAUAAAUAUUGUUUUACAAGAAAUUAGAAUAUUUUAUUGAAUAUUUUUAUUUUAUUCAAAUAGUUGCAAUAUCAUUUUUAAUAAAUAUUUUAGAUAUCCAAAUUUAUUUUAAAUCAUGAAAUAUGUGCUUUCCACUCAUCUACUACAUUUUUAGUCGGGUUCGAAAAAUUUCGAGAAAAAAUGACGUAAACGCCCUUAUGAGGCGAAAUUAUUUUUUCACAGUUUUGAAAGGGAAAAAGCUUAAAAUUCUUUAAAAACGAGGUUUGACGAUGAUUACUCAUAGGGGAGAUGAGAAAAAUGGUACUAAAGCCUUACGGGGUUCCGGUUGGCACUCCGGGUAACGAAUGUCUUCCAGAACGUCGCGGCGGUUGUCACAGGCUCGAGGAGAGUACCGGGUCAUGACAAAUUUCUUCUAAUCUUUUAGACAAAUUCGAUCAUUUUGUUCCCUUUGAUAAUAGAAAUCCCUCAAUUAUUUACCAGAACCCUCCAAAGAUUGAUUGUUUCAGGCCCACUACAACAAUGGUCUGAAUAGGGAAAAGUCUACUAAUUGAGGUUGUAUUUUAUUUCAUUUCAUUCAAUUUGAUUGGUUAAUAAGGUUGUUGGAGUGAUAGGAAAAAAAGCCUAAUGUUUUUUUGUAAUUUUUUAAAGUGAAAAUAGGAAACCAAUUUAAUGAGGGGAAUUGUGUAUCUUAAUUAGUCGCCCUUUUGAGUUAAUAA
Molecule: long non-coding RNA, 925 nt
Filed under: Theobroma cacao (cacao)
Lineage: Eukaryota; Viridiplantae; Streptophyta; Magnoliopsida; Malvales; Malvaceae
Description: long non-coding RNA (TCAC_LNC002603)
Source: RNAcentral